This 243-nucleotide ribosomal RNA is filed under the name uncultured Lactobacillus sp. Its description in RNAcentral is "partial 16S ribosomal RNA". It matches the Rfam family "Bacterial small subunit ribosomal RNA", at positions 119 to 356 of the family's 1533-position model. Lineage: Bacteria; Bacillati; Bacillota; Bacilli; Lactobacillales; Lactobacillaceae. The record is from RNAcentral.
GGGUAACCUGCCCAAGAGAUCGGGAUAACACCUGGAAACAGAUGCUAAUACCGGAUAACAACAGAUGAUGCCUAUCAACUGUUUAAAAGAUGGUUCUGCUAUCACUCUUGGAUGGACCUGCGGUGCAUUAGCUAGUUGGUAGGGUAACGGCCUACCAAGGCGAUGAUGCAUAGCCGAGUUGAGAGACUGAUCGGCCACAUUGGGACUGAGACACGGCCCAAACUCCUACGGGAGGCAGCAGUG